Molecule: long non-coding RNA, 471 nt
Filed under: Homo sapiens (human)
Lineage: Eukaryota; Metazoa; Chordata; Mammalia; Primates; Hominidae
Description: HSALNT0368436
Source: RNAcentral
CGAGGGACCACGUGGCCAGGGGCUGGCCAAUGACCAGGCCGCCCGGGAUGAGCUAAUAAUGGAAGCAAUUUGUAACUUUCAGUAGCUCUCUAGGCCUGGGUACCGGAGGGAGGGAGGCGGGCAGAGGAGGGGAGAUGGGCACCCCCAGUCUUUCCAUCCUCCUCAUUCGUCUAGGGGCACCCGAAUCCCCUAUUCCUUAUUUCCCCUAUCACUCAGGCACUGGCAGGGUCCUUGGCCCACUCCUGUUGGCCGCCGCGGCUCCAAAGCGAGAUGUGCCUGAGACAGGUUUGACCAGGCAACUGAAAAGACAUCCCUAAGGGAAGACAAAGCAAAGGUAUGAAAGGAACACACGUCCCUGACUGACUAGGAGGAACAGAGCUGCCUGCUGUCUGGAACCGCUUCCUCCCAGACUAAGUGAGGCCCGGAGACAAGAUAUGACUUGCUUAAGGUCACACACUUAGUUUCUCUGUC